CGGUGGUGGCUAUGAGCCUAGAUACGGUGGAGGAUACCACCAUGGCCAUGGUGGAGGAGGCUAUGGGCCCGGAUAUGGUGGUGGUUAUGGUGGCCCUGGGUAUGGUGGUGGGUAUGGUCAGCCUGGGUAUGGCGGAGGCUAUGGUGGAGGAUACGGCGGAGGCUAUGGCGGAGGAUACGGUGGUGGCGGCGGGUACGGUGGAGGCGGGGGCUAUGGAGGCGGAUAUGGUGGUGGCGGCUACCCUGGAGGUGGACACCAUGGUGGAUGGAAUUAAGUGGAGCAACUAUAUAAGUUUCUCUGUGUCAAAUAAUUAAUGUGCCGUGGUGAUGGGUUAAAAUGAUGCAUGGGGAUUACUUGGCG
This 360-nucleotide long non-coding RNA is filed under the name Setaria viridis. RNAcentral's name for it is "long non-coding RNA (SVIR_LNC004249)". The record is from RNAcentral. Lineage: Eukaryota; Viridiplantae; Streptophyta; Magnoliopsida; Poales; Poaceae.